This 391-nucleotide unclassified non-coding RNA is filed under the name soil metagenome. RNAcentral's name for it is "partial contains 5.8S ribosomal RNA, internal transcribed spacer 2, and large subunit ribosomal RNA". The stretch from base 1 to 122 matches the Rfam family "5.8S ribosomal RNA", at positions 35 to 154 of the family's 154-position model. The record is from RNAcentral.
GAUGAAGAACGUAGCGAAAUGCGAUACUUGGUGUGAAUUGCAGAAUCCCGUGAACCAUCGAGUCUUUGAAUGCAAGUUGCGCCCGAAGCCAUUAGGCCGAGGGCACGCCUGCCUGGGCGUCACACGUCGUUGCCCCCCCAUCUACUCCUUCGGGAUUGCGGGGGGCGGAUGAUGGCCUCCCGUGCGCCUCGCCGCGCGGUUGGCAUAAAUGCCAAGUCCUCGGCGACGCACGCCACGACAAUCGGUGGUUGCGAAACCUCGGUUGCCCGUCGUGUGCGGUCGUCGCGCAUCGAGGGCUCGAAAAAAUUGCCGGGUUCCGGCUCGGCUUUCAACGCGACCCCAGGUCAGGCGGGGUUACCCGCUGAAUUUAAGCAUAUCAAUAAGCGGAGGA